Molecule: long non-coding RNA, 336 nt
Filed under: Capsella rubella
Lineage: Eukaryota; Viridiplantae; Streptophyta; Magnoliopsida; Brassicales; Brassicaceae
Description: long non-coding RNA (CRUB_LNC005179)
Source: RNAcentral
UAUCAUUGCUUUAGUGAUUAAUCAUAUCAUAUAACUAUGUCAAUGGAUGAUAUAAAUUAAAGACAUGAUCAUGAUGACUCAAUGGAUAAUAAAUCUUUCUUUUUCUUUCUUUCUUUUUUUGUUGUUGUUGUGAAAGAGUAGGCAAUGUUAAACUUUGAUGAAUACAAGAAUGGUUGGCAGUCUUUUUUUUUAAAUUUAUUUAUAUAUAUAUGAAAUAUAUAUCAGAAGAACGGUUGGUGCAUAGUAGUAACGUAUAUAGACAAUUUUACAAAAAGAAAACAAAAAACGUAUAUAGACAAAUGUUAUGGAUAGUGACAAGUGUCAACAUGUUUUUAC